RNAcentral lists this ribosomal RNA (1951 nucleotides) under human gut metagenome. RNAcentral describes it as "bacterial LSU rRNA". It matches the Rfam family "Bacterial large subunit ribosomal RNA", at positions 1 to 1977 of the family's 2925-position model. The record is from RNAcentral.
UUAAGCGACUAAGCGUACACGGUGGAUGCCCUGGCAGUCAGAGGCGAUGAAGGACGUGCUAAUCUGCGAAAAGCGCCGGCGAGGUGAUAUGAACCUUUGACCCGGCGAUAUCCGAAUGGGGAAACCCAGUGCAAUCCGUUGCACUAUCGUUAACUGAAUACAUAGGUUAACGAGGCGAACCGGGGGAACUGAAACAUCUAAGUACCCCGAGGAAAAGAAAUCAACCGAGAUUCCCCCAGUAGCGGCGAGCGAACGGGGAGCAGCCCGGAGUCUGAAUCAGCUUGUGUGUUAGUGGAACGGUCUGGAAAGUCCGACGGUACAGGGUGAUAGUCCCGUACACGAAAGCACACAUGCUGUGAACUCGAAGAGUAGGGCGGGACACGUGGUAUCCUGUCUGAAUAUGGGGGGACCAUCCUCCAAGGCUAAAUACUCCUGACUGACCGAUAGUGAACCAGUACCGUGAGGGAAAGGCGAAAAGAACCCCGGCGAGGGGAGUGAAAAAGAACCUGAAACCGUGUACGUACAAGCAGUGGGAGCCUCUUUAUGGGGUGACUGCGUACCUUUUGUAUAAUGGGUCAGCGACUUAUAUUCUGUAGCAAGGUUAACCGUAUAGGGGAGCCGAAGGGAAACCGAGUCUUAACUGGGCGUUAAGUUGCAGGGUAUAGACCCGAAACCCGGUGAUCUAGCCAUGGGCAGGUUGAAGGUUGGGUAACACUAACUGGAGGACCGAACCGACUAAUGUUGAAAAAUUAGCGGAUGACCUGUGGCUGGGGGUGAAAGGCCAAUCAAACCGGGAGAUAGCUGGUUCUCCCCGAAAGCUAUUUAGGUAGCGCCUCGUGAAUUCAUCUUCGGGGGUAGAGCACUGUUUCGGCUAGGGGGCCAUCCCGGCUUACCAACCCGAUGCAAACUACGAAUACCGAAGAAUGUUAUCACGGGAGACACACGGCGGGUGCUAACGUCCGUCGUGAAGAGGGAAACAACCCAGACCGCCAGCUAAGGUCCCAAAGUCAUGGUUAAGUGGGAAACGAUGUGGGAAGGCACAGACAGCCAGGAUGUUGGCUUAGAAGCAGCCAUCAUUUAAAGAAAGCGUAAUAGCUCACUGGUCGAGUCGGCCUGCGCGGAAGAUGUAACGGGGCUAAACCAUGCACCGAAGCUGCGGCAGCGACACUUAUGUGUUGUUGGGUAGGGGAGCGUUCUGUAAGCCGUUGAAGGUGUGCUGUGAGGCAUGCUGGAGGUAUCAGAAGUGCGAAUGCUGACAUAAGUAACGAUAAAGCGGGUGAAAAGCCCGCUCGCCGGAAGACCAAGGGUUCCUGUCCAACGUUAAUCGGGGCAGGGUGAGUCGACCCCUAAGGCGAGGCCGAAAGGCGUAGUCGAUGGGAAACAGGUUAAUAUUCCUGUACUUGGUGUUACUGCGAAGGGGGGACGGAGAAGGCUAUGUCAGCCGGGCGACGGUUGUCCCGGUUUAAGCAUGUAGGCGGAGGUUCCAGGUAAAUCCGGUACCUUAUUAACGCUGAGGUGUGAUGACGAGGCACUACGGUGCUGAAGUGAUAAAUGCCCUGCUUCCAGGAAAAGCCUCUAAGCAUCAGGUAACACGAAAUCGUACCCCAAACCGACACAGGUGGUCAGGUAGAGAAUACCAAGGCGCUUGAGAGAACUCGGGUGAAGGAACUAGGCAAAAUGGUGCCGUAACUUCGGGAGAAGGCACGCUGAUGUGUAGGUGAAGCCCCUGCGGGUGGAGCUGAAAUCAGUCGAAGAUACCAGCUGGCUGCAACUGUUUAUUAAAAACACAGCACUGUGCAAACACGAAAGUGGACGUAUACGGUGUGACGCCUGCCCGGUGCCGGAAGGUUAAUUGAUGGGGUUAGCGGCAACGCGAAGCUCUUGAUCGAAGCCCCGGUAAACGGCGGCCGUAACUAUAACGGUCCUAAGGUAGCGAAAUUCCUUGUCGGGU